UGGGGAAUAUUGGACAAUGGGCGCAAGCCUGAUCCAGCAAUGCCGCGUGUGUGAAGAAGGCCUUCGGGUUGUAAAGCACUUUUAUCAGGAACGAAAAGCGUUGGAUUAAUACUCUGACGUGCUGACGGUACCUGAGGAAUAAGCACCGGCUAACUUCGUGCCAGCAGCCGCGGUAAUACGAAGGGUGCAAGCGUUAAUCGGAAUUACUGGGCGUAAAGCGUGCGUAGAUGGUUCGCUAAGUCGGAUGUGAAAGCCCCGGGCUCAACCUGGGAACUGCAUCCGAUACUGGCGGACUAGAGUGUGAUAGAGGAUGGCGGAAUUCCCGGUGUAGCGGUGAAAUGCGUAGAGAUCGGGAGGAACAUCCGUGGCGAAGGCGGCCAUCUGGAUCAACACUGACGUUGAGGCACGAAAGCGUGGGGAGCAAACA
This 427-nucleotide ribosomal RNA is filed under the name uncultured bacterium. Its description in RNAcentral is "bacterial SSU rRNA". It matches the Rfam family "Bacterial small subunit ribosomal RNA", at positions 355 to 774 of the family's 1533-position model. The record is from RNAcentral.